UCAAUUGGAAAUUGGAAGCGGCGGCACGCGGUCGCACGUUUUCGCUUGCUUUCAAGUUCGGUGUGCAAUUCAAAUAACAAAUUAGCCUUUUUACAACAAGUGUUUUGUAAUAAAAUGACGGAAUUUGAUUUUGUGCCAAUAGCCGUGGGCGUGGUUGCCGUAGUCGCUGGAGCCUUGAUAGUGCAUUAUCUGCUAAACAAAAAGUCCACAAAGCCACGUCGGGAACCCAAUCGCACGGCUCGCCUGCGCACUCUGGUUGAUCCCAAUGACAAAUACCUACUGCCCCUCAUCGAGAAGGAAAAUCUAAGCCACGACACCAGGCGGUUCCGUUUUGGAUUGCCCUCUAAGCAGCAUGUUCUUGGUCUGCCCGUUGGGCAACACAUCCAUUUGAUUGCUACUAUCGAUAAUGAGCUUGUCAUUCGUCCAUACACACCCAUCUCAUCCGAUGAGGAUGUGGGCUAUGUCGACCUAGUGGUAAAGGUUUACUUCAAGGAUUCUCAUCCGAAAUUCCCUGCCGGUGGCAAGAUGACACAGCACCUUGAACAGCUGGAAUUGGGCGACAAGAUCUCGUUCCGCGGUCCCUCUGGACGACUACAGUAUCUCGGCAACGGCACAUUCUCCAUUAAGAAGUUGCGAAAGGAUCCGCCCAAGCAUGUGACCGCCAAGCGGGUGAACAUGAUUGCCGGCGGCACUGGCAUUACUCCAAUGCUCCAACUGGCCAGAGAAGUGCUCAAGCGCAGCGAUAAGGACAAGACUGAACUGGCGUUGCUGUUCGCCAAUCAAAGCGAAAAGGACAUUCUGCUGCGCGGUGAACUGGACGAACUUGCCCAGAAACAUCCCGACCAGUUCAAGGUCUGGUACACAGUCGAUAAGGCCGGAGAAGCUUGGUCCUACAACACUGGUCAUGUGAACGACGAUAUGAUGCAGCAGCAUCUCUAUCCGCCGGCUGAGGACACGUUGUGCCUGCUGUGUGGUCCACCACCAAUGGUCAAUUAUACGUGUAUUCCGGGCUUGGAGCGACUUGGCCAUCGGGCCGAGCAGCGGUUUAGCUAUUAGGAUUAGCUCCAGCUGACAUAACUAGAUACUAUCCCUCUGUUUUGCUCUCAUUUCACAAUGUCAUAACAGUGGGAGAGAUUGGGUGCAGCAGGUUGGCCAUAUAGCGUUGGCUUCAUAAAUGAGGACAUGAUUGCUGCCCAUUUGCUUCCCGCUAAGGACGAUACUAUUGUACUGCUGUGUGGCCCACCGCCCAUGAUCAACUUUGCCU
This is an RNA transcript of Drosophila eugracilis, 1264 nucleotides long. It is a transcript of the gene named NADH-cytochrome b5 reductase 3, with no coding region annotated. Lineage: Eukaryota; Metazoa; Arthropoda; Insecta; Diptera; Drosophilidae. The record is from RefSeq and is a predicted model, not a curated record. The transcript has 5 exons.